RNAcentral lists this ribosomal RNA (492 nucleotides) under uncultured bacterium. Its description in RNAcentral is "partial 16S ribosomal RNA". It matches the Rfam family "Bacterial small subunit ribosomal RNA", at positions 29 to 507 of the family's 1533-position model. The record is from RNAcentral.
AGUGAACGCUGGCGGUAGGCCUAACACAUGCAAGUCGAACGGCAGCACAGUAAUAGCUUGCUCUUACGGGUGGCGAGUGGCGGACGGGUGAGGAAUACAUCGGAAUCUACUUUUUCGUGGGGGAUAACGUCGGGAAACUUACGCUAAUAACGCAUACGACCUACGGGGGAAAGCAGGGGAUCUUCGGACCUUGCGCGAUUGAAUGAGCCGAUGUCGGAUUAGCUAGUUGGGGGGGUAAAGGCCCACCAAGGCGACGAUCCGUAGCUGGUCUGAGAGGAUGACCAGCCACACUGGAACUGAGACACGGCCCAGACUCCUACGGGAGGCAGCAGUGGGGAAUUUUGGACAAUGGGCGCAAGCCUGAUCCAGCCAUACCGCGUGCGUGAAGAAGGCCUUCGGGUUGUAAAGCCCUUUUGUUGGGGAAGAAAAGCUGCAGGCUAAUACCCCGGUGUUAUGACGGUACCCAAAGAAUAAGCACCGGCUAACUUCGUG